GCUGCAAACUCAUGACUCUAAAAGAGACCCCUUUCUUCCACUUGAGAAAAGGAAAAAGUAGGAAGGGCUUUCACUAACAUCUUACAUACCAGCCCAGACACAGCAGAGUAGGAUACUAGUCAUAGUUGAGGCCCGCAUUCCAGGACCUAGCAUCUAAAUGACAUUUGUAGACACGCCCUGAGACAGAAGGGAGCCCACCUGCCUUGAAGAAAACAGGCCCGUUCUGGCAGCGUUUAUAUCCUGCUGACUGAAGAGCCUAUGGGCACUGAAUAUAACCAUCCCCACCUACUCCUGCAGACCCCAACACUCUGCCCAGCCUCUAGUAACCAUACUUGUACUCUCUUUGUCCAUGACUUCAAUGUUUUCAUUUUUAGAUCUCACAAAAUCAUGUAUCUUGAAAGCAUCUUAAUAAUAAUAAAAUUCAACACCUUCAUAUCAAAGCCAGGACUCAAGUCUUGUAAUGCUCAUGUCAGUGGUAAGUACUUGGGACCCUACUUUUUCUCUAGACCAGGUCCUUAUGGACCUGAUCUAUUACUAUAAAAAAAUUGUUGAAUGAAGUUCUUUCUAGCAACUUAGUUUGUUUAUAAUUCACUUUUUAUCUUCUUGUCUCCAUCAAAGAAAUAUAUAGACAUGUCAUGUUACAUAUCAGUGAUAUAUUUUAUUGAAAGGUUUUAUGGAAAUCCAGGUUAGCCAGGAGUGUUAUUUAAUUACACAGAUCUGGUCAGAGUAGUAAUUUCACAUAUUGUUAUAAUCACUGUCACUUGAUUUUUGCAUUGUAGAUCACAAAGUCCUUGAAAGCAGGCAUAGUGUAGUAUUUGCGUUUGGUCUGACUCAAGCAUCUCAAUGGAAAUAUUUUAAACAUCUUAUUUAAUAUUUGUGCAAUAGUUUGUUUAUACAAUGAAAAUAAUUAUUGUUUAUAGAAAUCAUUUAGCACAGUGCUAUUCAAGUAAUACAAACUCAGUACAUACUAAUUACAUAUAAAAGGUGAUAGGCGAAUAUUUGGUGAAUGAAUAGAUGAAUGUUUGAAUGACAGAAAGCAAUGUAACCUGGAUUUAUAGUUUGCUCUAGAGGAACCUAACAAAACUGAAUAGAAAAAAAAAAACACACAAAAUUAUCCAAUAGCUCUUGUCUUACAUAUUUUUAAUAAAACCAUCUCUUCACAGUUAGUGACAACAUGAUCAGCAGUUAUAAAACAUAGGAGGACAUUGAUCAUUUAAUACACCAUCUUAGUUACCACUUGCAUUAUAUUAGAUCAUUGUUCUAAAUUAUUGAUUCCUUCCCCAUCCCAUCUCCGUAGACAGAGUAUAGCUUUCCAUCUCUUGAGUUUAGGCUUAGCCAAUUACUUUCUUUCACACCUGAUAUAUUUGUUACAUUUAUAACUAUAAAGGAUCCCCAAAGGUAAAUCACAGUCAGGUGAUCUCUCCCUUCUAUAAAGAGAAUGGACUAAAAAUGAGUAUUAAAAAUACCAGUGUGACAAAAUCAUUAAUCAAAAAU
This 1494-nucleotide long non-coding RNA is filed under the name Callithrix jacchus (white-tufted-ear marmoset). RNAcentral's name for it is "lncRNA (ENSCJAG00000080044.1)". Lineage: Eukaryota; Metazoa; Chordata; Mammalia; Primates; Cebidae. The record is from RNAcentral.